Long non-coding RNA from Amblyraja radiata (thorny skate), 173 nucleotides. RefSeq lists it as uncharacterized. NCBI's taxonomy places the organism in Eukaryota, Metazoa, Chordata, Chondrichthyes, Rajiformes, Rajidae. The transcript is spliced from 3 exons. The record is from RefSeq and is a predicted model, not a curated record.
CUGAGUUACUCCAGCCUUUUGUGUCAAUCCUCUAAUAAUUAGUCUCUUGUGUUUCAGGAAGGAUUCGGAUUCUCCCCACAGCUGGCAUGGACAGAAUCAGAAACGCGGCUGUUGCUGUGACCCUGGACCCCAACACUGCCCACCCGAUGCUCCAGGUAUCAUCUGACCUGGUC